This 447-nucleotide ribosomal RNA is filed under the name Heterosigma akashiwo. RNAcentral describes it as "partial Bacterial large subunit ribosomal RNA". It matches the Rfam family "Bacterial large subunit ribosomal RNA", at positions 1 to 469 of the family's 2925-position model. Lineage: Eukaryota; Raphidophyceae; Chattonellales; Chattonellaceae. The record is from RNAcentral.
GCUAAAUAAGAGCGUAUGGGGAAUGCCUUGGCUCUCAGAGGCGAUGAAGGACGUGAUAAGCUGCGAAAAGCUGCGGGGAUUGGCACAUACAAACUGAUCCGUAGAUAUCCGAAUGGGGCAACCCAGCAUGUUGAAGACAUGUUACACCGAAAGGUGAGCAAACCCGGAGAACUGAAACAUCUAAGUACCCGGAGGAGAAGAAAACAAAAGUGAUUCCGUUAGUAGUGGCGAGCGGACGCGGAACAGCCCAAACCAGAUUAGUUACGGCUAGUCUGGGGUUGUAGGACUGCGAUAUCUUAACAAAAACGAACAAGAACAACUUGGGAAGGUUGGCCAAAGAAGGUGAAAGCCCUGUACUGGUAAGUUUUUGAGCGGUAGCAGUAUCCUGAGUAGGGCGGGGCAGGUGAAACCCCGUUUGAAUCUACCAGCACCAUCUGGUAAGGCUAA